UGCACCGGGGAUGCAGCGGAGACGGCGCACAUGCACGGGGGGCUGUACGGCGGGGGACAGCAGGGACCUGCCGGGGCAGCUGCGGGGUGGGGACAGGCAAGCCCAGCCCCGCGCCCACCUUUGGGCGUUGCCGGCGUCUCUUCGCCCAGGACGCGGGCACCCUGCUCGCCCCGCGGCGUGGAGGCCGGGCUGGACUCGCAGGGGCUGCAGCCCGCCGCCGAGGCCUUGCGGUAGGCGUCCGACUGGCUGCCUGCGGACAGGGAGACAUGGCUUGGGGGGGCUGUGGGCUGCCGGCGUGGGGCAGGGGACCCGGCACCCCUGGGCCAACCGCGCUCCUGCCCCCCCCGUGCCAGCCCCGGCCGCGAGCAGUCAGACGCUCACCGCCAUGUACCCAUCACCGCACUGUCCCCCUCCUGCGGCGGUGGGGCAGAGGUGCCCCUCGGCAGCCCCGCAGCCCGAGCCCCCCACGUGGGGGAGACGGGCAGCCCCAUCCCAGGGUGCCAUGCACCGCCCUCCCCRCAAUGGCCCUCCUCUGCCCUACGGGCACGGCCUCGAGGUCCCACCUCUGCCCCACGGGCAUGGACCCCCAUGGCCCGGGCAUGGCCUCAGUGUCCCUCCUCCGCCCCAUGGGCACAGCUGCGCACGGCCCUGGGCAUGGCCUCAGUGUCCCUCCUCUGCCCCAUGGGCCCAGCCCCACACAGUCCCAGGCACAACCUGCCUGUCCCCCCCUGCCCCAUGGGCACAGCCUGCCCCAUCCCCAUCUGCCCCAUGGGCACAGCCUGCCCCGUGCCCCCCCUAUGCUAUGGCACAGCCUGCCCCAUCUCUUUCUGCCCCGGGGCACAGCCUGCCCUGUGUCCCCCUCUGCCAUGGGCACAGCCUGCCCCAUCCCCAUCUGCCUCAAGAGCUCAGCCUGCCCCAUCUCCAUGUGUCCUGGGGGCACAGCCUGCCCCGUCCCCAUGGGCACAGCCUGCCCCCUCUCCGUCCACCCCAGGGGCACAGCCUGCCCUGUGCCCCCCCCCUAUGUCAUGGGCACAGCCUGCCCCAUCUCCUUCUGCCCCAUGAGCACAGCCUGCCCCAUCCCCAUCUGCCCCAGGGGCACAGCCUGCCCCAUCCCCAUCCACCCCAGGGGCACAGCCUGCCCCAUCCCCAUCCGCCCCAGGGGCACAGCCUGCCCCAUCCCCAUCUGCCCCAGGGG
Molecule: long non-coding RNA, 1195 nt
Filed under: Apteryx haastii (Great spotted kiwi)
Lineage: Eukaryota; Metazoa; Chordata; Aves; Apterygiformes; Apterygidae
Description: lncRNA (ENSAHAG00000003414.1)
Source: RNAcentral